GUGAUAGUGUUUUUGACUUUUUCGUAGUUGCAGUUCAUCCUCGAUUGGAAGCCACUUUCGAUUUAAUACACAAAACCACACCUACUACAAACUACCCACGUGUUGGCACGUGUGACUUCCCACGUGCUCUCACGUGGGCCAGAUUAAGAUAGCCCCGCCCACUUAUUUCUUCCAAAAGCAAAAACUUUUGGGGUGAUUCAAAGUCGACACGCGCUCCAUACUUCUCUCUGCCCCCCUGGGUGUCCUAAGAAGAGCUUUUGCUAAAGACUACAAGAGUAUGAUCCGAACCUUCAUUACGACAGAUGGGAUAUUCAAAUAUGGAUGAAUCCACCAGUGACCACCCAGACGUCUUCAAAUCCAGUAUAGGUCCUACAAGUGAACUUACUUAUUAUGUAGUGGCUAAUCAAGAAACCCAGCAUGUUUCCAGUUUGGUUGCUCGUCAGAAAAAGCAGAGUGUUUUGAAAUUACACAAGUAUAGAAUCUCAGUCAUUGCCAAAUUCAAGAUUUAGCCUUCAGCAUCAAAGGCAGAGCAUCAUCCUUAAGUAGCAAAACUUGACCAAGUCAAAGUUUUUCUGCACAUGAAAAGUCAACUUUAGAUAUGUUACCAUAUAUGGCAUUGCUAUGAUGAUAACGGCCUUAUUAUGUAAUAGGAAUUUUCCUUUUUAUCCCGGAAUCGCAUCCCACCCUAUAUUCCUCACCAUCCCUCAAUUGAUUGCAUCAAAAGAAUGUUACGCUGGGCAUCAUACGGAGAUUAUGCAGUACUGCAUGAGAUUAGUUUCACGUUCUUUUAUUUCACAAUAAAAAAGAAGAAACUCAAAUUUCCAAGUAUCAAUAUUUCUUCACUAGGCGUAUCCUGAGUCCUGACCCCGGGGGCUCCAUCCCUCCCAUCUGAAGGGGGUGUGAGGGUUAAACUAUGGGUUGUUGUUGAUUACAAGUUUUGGAACACUCCCAAAACAUGUCAUUUCAUUAAUUAAGAGCUUUUUACUAUUAGAGGUUUGAUGUGACACCUUCUGAAAACCUUUCUGUGACCCCGUCCCUUAGAGUAACAGUUUCAGGUGGUGCUAGGGAGAUAGUCCAUUCACAAUCAGCUGGUGGAAUGAGAGCAUAUCCUAAUUCAAGAGAUAAAGUACACUGUACAAUUCUCCUGUGGCUAACAGCAGACCUUCAAAGCCAGCUGCAGAUCCUUCCAGUUCUCUUUCCGAGUGGUUAUUAGGGGAGCUAUAAAGGAUAAGCCCCAUUGGGGUAAGGUAUUAGUGAAGAAAUACUCUGAAGCUUUUAAGGAAAACCCUUCAGAUAUACUGGAUGAAAUGUUACAGCUUCCUUUUGUGGGACCUAAUUGUUUAAUUGAAGGCAAUUCUGUCAUUUUCAUGGAGGCAGAAAUUGAACAAAAGAAGGAGGAGGAAGAAGAGGAAGAAACAGAUUAUCCUUCACUGCCUUCUACUGUAGAGUUGCCUUUGUCAUCAGAAGAAGGCAUACAUGUGUAUGCGUAUGCAUUGGUAGCUUCAAUAAAGUCAUUGCUUCACUUUUAUGUACAACACAAUUCACCAUCAACCACUAAAGCAUAUUACAGUGACUUGAGGACUCAUUAUAAACACUUUAAUGAAAAUAAGCAUGGUA
Long non-coding RNA from Amphimedon queenslandica, 1617 nucleotides. RefSeq lists it as uncharacterized. NCBI's taxonomy places the organism in Eukaryota, Metazoa, Porifera, Demospongiae, Haplosclerida, Niphatidae. The transcript has 11 exons. The record is from RefSeq and is a predicted model, not a curated record.